GGGGUUAUAGUUAAUUAUAACAUUUAAUUUGCAAUUAAAAGGUACUUUAAGUUUUCCUCA
This 60-nucleotide transfer RNA is filed under the name Ectrychotes andreae. Its description in RNAcentral is "tRNA-Ala". Lineage: Eukaryota; Metazoa; Arthropoda; Insecta; Hemiptera; Reduviidae. The record is from RNAcentral.